This 497-nucleotide ribosomal RNA is filed under the name uncultured bacterium. Its description in RNAcentral is "partial 16S ribosomal RNA". It matches the Rfam family "Bacterial small subunit ribosomal RNA", at positions 28 to 507 of the family's 1533-position model. The record is from RNAcentral.
GAUGAACGCUGGCGGCGGGCCUAAUACAUGCAAGUCGAGCGAACAGACGAGGAGCUUGCUCCUCUGACGUUAGCGGCGGACGGGUGAGUAACACGAGGAUAACUGACCUAUAAGACUGGGAUAAGGUCGGGAAAGCUGAGCUAGUACCGGAUAAGAGAUUGAACGGCGUGGUUCAUUAGAGAAAAACGUAUUUGCUGUCACUUAGACAGGGAUCCGCGCCGCAUUAGCUAGUUGGUAAGGUAACGGCUUACCAAGGCAACGAUGCGUAGCCGACCUGAGAGGGUGAUCGGCCACACUGGAACUGAGACACGGUCCAGACUCCUACGGGAGGCAGCAGUAGGGAAUCUUCCGCAAUGGGCGAAAGCCUGACGGAGCAACGCCGCGUGAGUGAUGAAGGUCUUCGGAUCGUAAAACUCUGUUAGUAGGGAAGAACAAAUGUGUAAGUAAAUAUGCACGUCUUGACGGUACCUACACAGAAAGCCACGGCUAACUACGUG